UGCGAACGGUGUAGUAAGAUGAAUCGCGAAGAUUACGUGAGUGCCAUGAGUAACCGCUUAAUAAUAUAAUUGAACGAAUUCAGAACAGACAGGAGCAGCCGAGUACUUCUGGAGCUCUUGUAGAAAGCAUUAGAGACCUCUGGGUAUCAAGCCCCAUUGGUCCGGACAGGUGAUUUUGGAUGAUCCAGCUACCUAAUCACUGAAGAACACCUGAGAUUCCUGCUUUCAUGUGGAUUGCUGAAAUCCUGGAUGUAUCAGUCAGUACAGUGAAACCAAGAUUGAGGCGCUUCAAAUUGUCCUACCUGAUGAGCAUGUCCAGUGUGUAGGAAGAGUUUAAACGGAGCAGACCGCAGCAGCCAGACUCCAUCAGCAUAUCCACCCUCUCCAUGGAUGCCGCAAACAGGAGAGAUCGUCCUUCUGAGACCCCUGUCAUCCCUCGGUUCUCCUCUCCUACAUCAAACAAGCCGAGAAGACAAAGCUUGUCGCGUUCUCUUUUGCUAUCUGUUGCAGUCAUAAUCAUCUCAGUCUGAUAUUUCUUUGUAUUUGUUUAAUUUAUUUAAUGCCUUUCUGCACCAUGUAAACAGUUACCCAAGCACAUAACUGUUAAUCAGAAGGUCACUGGUUCGAUCCCCACAGCCGCCACCAUUGUGUCCUUGAGCAAGACAUUUAAUCCAAGUUGCUCCGGGGGGAUUGUCCCUAUAAUAAGUGCACUGUAAGUCGCUUUGGAUAAAAGCAUCUGCCAAAUGCAUAAAUGUAAAUGUACUCAUACAGACGUCCUAACAGUUGGUUGAGUUCAAGCCCAUGUCUUCUCAAUUUUCACCUCUCAAGCAACUCCAUCUUUCUUGAAAUGCACUGCUGCAAUACGCUAUUGUGGGGAAAUGCCAGACUUUAUAUACCAUAUCCUCUUUACACAUCAGAAAAUUAGCUAAAUCCUGCAACUGAACCCUCUACGGCAUAUGGGAUGGCUGUAGGGGUUACUUUCACUCUUGGCAUUUACAGGGUCUGGACCUAACAAUAUAGCCCUGCAAUAAAUGUUAUGUUUAUGAAGGAUAUAAUUAUAUAUUUUGUUUGAGAUUAUGACCGGAAGAUUGAUCUCUGGUUAUUUAUUCUGGUUUUGUUUUAUUGGAUUGCAUUAUAAACCCAUGGGCCAAUGACUGGGUGAUGGG
Long non-coding RNA from Xyrauchen texanus (razorback sucker), 1166 nucleotides. RefSeq lists it as uncharacterized. The record is from RefSeq and is a predicted model, not a curated record. NCBI's taxonomy places the organism in Eukaryota, Metazoa, Chordata, Actinopteri, Cypriniformes, Catostomidae. The transcript is spliced from 4 exons.